Molecule: transfer RNA, 68 nt
Filed under: Eucleoteuthis luminosa
Lineage: Eukaryota; Metazoa; Mollusca; Cephalopoda; Oegopsida; Ommastrephidae
Description: tRNA-Ala
Source: RNAcentral
GGUAUUAUACUUUAUUUUAUAGAAGAUAUGAUUUGCAAUCAUAAAGUAAGACUUUAUCUUUAAUACCA